GGGUGUUUUCCAGAGUGGCCAAAUGGGGCAGACUGUAAAUCUGCUGUCUUUCGACUUCGGUGGUUCGAAUCCAUCAGCACCCACUA
This 86-nucleotide transfer RNA is filed under the name Xylanibacter ruminicola. RNAcentral's name for it is "Prevotella ruminicola tRNA_Tyr_GTA". It matches the Rfam family "tRNA". Rfam says of the family: Transfer RNA (tRNA) molecules are approximately 80 nucleotides in length. Their secondary structure includes four short double-helical elements and three loops (D, anti-codon, and T loops). RNAcentral also lists the same sequence under 2 other names. Lineage: Bacteria; Pseudomonadati; Bacteroidota; Bacteroidia; Bacteroidales; Prevotellaceae. The record is from RNAcentral.